AGAUGCUGAAAGUAUGUAUCUUAGAGCCAAAAUACUGUUCUUCUUUCUUUUUUGUAUGUCAUGCAUAUAUCUUUUCGCUUUGUCACUACGAGAUAUUGAACAAAAUGAACCAAAAAUUGCUAGAUUUAUAUAUCCUUGCGACAGAACAUUGGAAGGAAGACGAAGAAUUUGGACAAGUCCGCCAGUGGUUGUAGCUGAUUUCAGUUUAAUUUUCUUUUGGAAUGCUAAGUCUGAGUCAACUUAUUGGAAGAGAUUACUACAAAUUAUACAAAGGAUAAACUGCAAAUACGCAUUUAUGGGAUUAAAAUAUGUACACAAUCAAAAUGAAAUCAUAAAAUUUAUAAAAAACGAUUCAUGGAUAAAAGCGACUUUCGUUAGAGAACCUAGGGAACGUAUUUUAUCUUCAUAUUUAGGUGUCGGAAAGGACGACCUUCAUAUGAAUUGUUCUUGUGGAAGAACCGUUAGUUCAUUUUUAGAAUUUGUAGAAGUUAUUAAACAAUGCAAAGAUAGACACUGGACACCACAAGUUAAUUUACCAAAACAAUUUUACAAGAAUAUGAUGAUCGGGAAAAUGUCAAAUAUUUCAACAUUUACUGAACUAUUAUUGAGAAGAAUAGGUGUUUGGAAUGAAACAAUUAAAACUUUUCUUGGAUCAAAACGAAUGUACAGUUUGACACAAUCCCAUGCUAAAAACGCUACACAAAAGUUGCUCAAUUAUUACAAUACAACUGAACUACAGAAUUCGAUUUUUCACAUGUUUGCAGAAG
Molecule: long non-coding RNA, 767 nt
Filed under: Mytilus galloprovincialis (Mediterranean mussel)
Lineage: Eukaryota; Metazoa; Mollusca; Bivalvia; Mytilida; Mytilidae
Source: RNAcentral